Poecilia reticulata (guppy) is the source of this 332-nucleotide long non-coding RNA. RefSeq lists it as uncharacterized. NCBI's taxonomy places the organism in Eukaryota, Metazoa, Chordata, Actinopteri, Cyprinodontiformes, Poeciliidae. The record is from RefSeq and is a predicted model, not a curated record.
CUGAUGUCCGUGAUGAGGACUGAGAUGCAACUGUGUCUGCAUCCAGCUUGAGCUACAUUCAGAUGUAGCUAAAGAAAGAAGCAGCUGAUGUAGGAAGGCAGAGAGUACUGGCAGCAGAGGAAGUGGCAUUCUGGGAGGAUGGCAGCUAUGAGGGGGUGUCAGGAUUUAAUGUGGUGAGGUUGAGACCCCAAGUUCCCCCAACCAGGAGCUCAGUGACGACGGGCCUACACUACAGGAGAGAUGUCGGGCCUGUCCUGAAUGCAGCAUAAUGUUUGAUCAUGUUUGGACAAAAAAACACUGCCAGAUAGUCCAGAAAUGGACAAGCAUUUAUG